Molecule: ribosomal RNA, 143 nt
Filed under: Teleaulax amphioxeia
Lineage: Eukaryota; Cryptophyceae; Pyrenomonadales; Geminigeraceae
Source: RNAcentral
GUUUUGGUGUUUAUGGCGUAAUGGAACCACUCCGAUCCAUCUCGAACUCGGUAGUUAAACGUUACAGCGGCGAUAAUACUUAGGGAGUUGUCCCUUGGGAAGGUAGCACGGUGCCAAAACCAUAUUUAUUUUUAUACUAUAUU